UUCAGUUACACAGGAAUCGUACCCGAAACCGACACAGGUGGUCAGGUCGAGUAGACCAAGGCGCUUGAGAGAACUCUGCUGAAGGAACUAGGCAAAAUGGUACCGUAACUUCGGGAGAAGGUACGCUGUUGUUGGUGAUGGAACUCGCUUCCUGAGCUGACGACAGCCGCAGAAACCAGGCCGCUGCAACUGUUUAUUAAAAACAUAGCACUCUGCAAACACGAAAGUGGACGUAUAGGGUGUGAUGCCUGCCCGGUGCUGGAAGGUUAAUUGAUGGGGUUAGCGUAAGCGAAGCUCUUGAUCGAAGCCCCAGUAAACGGCGGCCGUAACUAUAACGGUCCUAAGGUAGCGAAAUUCCUUGUCGGGUAAGUUCCGACCUGCACGAAUGGCAUAAUGAUGGCGGCGCUGUCUCCAGCAGAGGCUCAGUGAAAUCGAAAUCGCUGUGAAGAUGCAGUGUACCCGCGGCUAGACGGAAAGACCCCGUGAACCUUUACUGCAGCUUGACACUGAACUUUGACCUUACUUGUGUAGGAUAGGUGGGAGGCUUUGAAGCUGGAACGCUAGUUCCAGUGGAGCCGUCCUUGAAAUACCACCCUGGUAAUGUUGAGGUUCUAACUCUGUCCCGUGAUCCGGGACGAGGACCGUGUCUGGUGGGUAGUUUGACUGGGGCGGUCUCCUCCUAAAGAGUAACGGAGGAGUACGAAGGUGCGCUCAGCGUGGUCGGAAAUCACGCGUAGAGUAUAAAGGCAAAAGCGCGCUUAACUGCGAGACCCACAAGUCGAGCAGGUACGAAAGUAGGUCUUAGUGAUCCGGUGGUUCUGUAUGGAAGGGCCAUCGCUCAACGGAUAAAAGGUACUCUGGGGAUAACAGGCUGAUACCGCCCAAGAGUUCAUAUCGACGGCGGUGUUUGGCACCUCGAUGUCGGCUCAUCUCAUCCUGGGGCUGAAGCAGGUCCCAAGGGUAUGGCUGUUCGCCAUUUAAAGAGGUACGCGAGCUGGGUUUAGAACGUCGUGAGACAGUUCGGUCCCUAUCUACCGUGGGCGCUGGAAAUUUGAGAGGAUCUGCUCCUAGUACGAGAGGACCAGAGUGGACGAACCUCUGGUGUACCGGUUGUGACGCCAGUCGCAUCGCCGGGUAGCUAUGUUCGGAAGGGAUAACCGCUGAAAGCAUCUAAGCGGGAAGCCUACCUCAAGAUAAGAUUUCCCUAGGACUUUAUGUCCUCUAAAGAGCCGUUCGAGACUAGGACGUUGAUAGGUUGGAUGUGGAAGCAUAGUGAUAUGUGAAGCUGACCAAUACUAAUUGCUCGUGAGGCUUGACUAU
This 1320-nucleotide ribosomal RNA is filed under the name Acinetobacter baumannii. RNAcentral's name for it is "partial 23S ribosomal RNA". It matches the Rfam family "Bacterial large subunit ribosomal RNA", at positions 1626 to 2925 of the family's 2925-position model. The record is from RNAcentral. Lineage: Bacteria; Pseudomonadati; Pseudomonadota; Gammaproteobacteria; Moraxellales; Moraxellaceae.